RNAcentral lists this small nuclear RNA (19 nucleotides) under Arabidopsis thaliana (thale cress). RNAcentral's name for it is "snRNA_06362". The record is from RNAcentral. Lineage: Eukaryota; Viridiplantae; Streptophyta; Magnoliopsida; Brassicales; Brassicaceae.
GUGGCGGCCUAAGCCCGGG